This 66-nucleotide transfer RNA is filed under the name Marmota monax (woodchuck). RNAcentral's name for it is "tRNA.Ala". Lineage: Eukaryota; Metazoa; Chordata; Mammalia; Rodentia; Sciuridae. The record is from RNAcentral.
GGCUGUGGCUUAGUGGAGAGCCCUUGCCCAGCAUGUGUGAGGCCCUGGGUUCAAUCCCCAGCACCA